GAGUUCUCAUGAGAUCUGAUGGUUUUAUAAGGGGCUUCCCCUUGCCCACUUCACUCUACACGUUUCCUUUCUGCCCUCAUGUGCAGGAUAUGUUUACUUCCCCUUCCACGUGAUUCAGGUUUUGUGGAUUGAAGAGUACAGAUGUGUGCAGCAACAGUUUUGUCAGGCGCAGCAGUUAUAAGUCAUGUUCUGGCUUUGCAUCCUAGAAUUGAUAUCAAGUUUUCAUACAUAUUUGUUCCAUAUGAGACUUCCAAAAAAAUUCAGGAGUGCCAGUUCCAAGGGAGAUGAAGGAGUCCUGUGGGUGAUCAUGUUGACAGGAGGACUAACAAAAAUAUGUGAAAAGAAUCUUGGAUUUUCAGCUGGGAAACCUAGAAGAGAUCAUAGCCAGAGACUAUGCAUCACAUGCUGCCUUUGA
RNAcentral lists this long non-coding RNA (415 nucleotides) under Callithrix jacchus (white-tufted-ear marmoset). Its description in RNAcentral is "lncRNA (ENSCJAG00000072613.1)". The record is from RNAcentral. Lineage: Eukaryota; Metazoa; Chordata; Mammalia; Primates; Cebidae.